ACGGUGGCACAGAAUCGGAGGCCCCGACUGUUUACUAAAAACACAGCUCAGUGCAAUCAUAAAAAUGAUAGUAUACUGAGUGAGAUUUGCCCGAUGCCAUUAAUAUAAGAGCGGUCAUUACAUAAAAGUGACUUAUCGAAAAUCUGGUUAAUAGCGGUCUUAACUAUGAGGAUCCUAAGGUAGCAAAAUCAGUUGGCCAUUAAAUGUGGUCCGGUAUCAAUAAUUUAACGAUGGUCUCACUGUCUCUACAACUUGCUCAGUGAAAUUGAAUUACGCGUGCAGAUGCGCGUUACUUACAGGGGGACGGGAAGACCCUAUGCAGCUUCUACUG
Molecule: ribosomal RNA, 331 nt
Filed under: Schizophyllum commune
Lineage: Eukaryota; Fungi; Basidiomycota; Agaricomycetes; Agaricales; Schizophyllaceae
Description: LSU rRNA
Rfam family: Bacterial large subunit ribosomal RNA
Source: RNAcentral